This is a long non-coding RNA of Passer domesticus (house sparrow), 364 nucleotides long. RefSeq lists it as uncharacterized. Lineage: Eukaryota; Metazoa; Chordata; Aves; Passeriformes; Passeridae. The transcript is spliced from 3 exons. The record is from RefSeq and is a predicted model, not a curated record.
CCAGAGCAGCUCUUGCGCUCGCUCCCUGCAGGAGGAUCCUUGUGAUCAAGGAGUUCUCAGCAGACGGCCUGCACCCCGAGAGGAGUCUUGGUUUUUCCCUUGGGUGGCAUUCAGUGUGCAAACCCGCACGGCGCUGCUAAGAUGAUCCAGCAAGUCUGUGCCGCGGUUUGCACCGUCUUUUCUCUUGCUUAUUCUGGCUACUACCUGACCCAGCUGACUCGUCACUUCACGCGCAGAUGGAGGCAAGCCUGUCCUUUGGGCUCAGCAGCAGGGUCAGCACCUCCUCUGGCUCCCUCUCUUGUUGAGGAAGAGGCUGAAGAGGAGCAAAGGAGCACCAAGCCUCCACCUGCAGUCCCUCCACAGC